Molecule: ribosomal RNA, 892 nt
Filed under: uncultured bacterium
Lineage: Bacteria
Description: bacterial SSU rRNA
Rfam family: Bacterial small subunit ribosomal RNA
Source: RNAcentral
GUGCCAGCCGCCGCGGUAAUACGUAGGUGGCAAGCGUUGUCCGGAUUUAUUGGGCGUAAAGCGAGCGCAGGCGGUUUUUUAAGUCUGAUGUGAAAGCCUUCGGCUCAACCGAAGAAGUGCAUCGGAAACUGGGAAACUUGAGUGCAGAAGAGGACAGUGGAACUCCAUGUGUAGCGGUGAAAUGCGUAGAUAUAUGGAAGAACACCAGUGGCGAAGGCGGCUGUCUGGUCUGUAACUGACGCUGAGGCUCGAAAGUAUGGGUAGCAAACAGGAUUAGAUACCCUGGUAGUCCAUACCGUAAACGAUGAAUGCUAAGUGUUGGAGGGUUUCCGCCCUUCAGUGCUGCAGCUAACGCAUUAAGCAUUCCGCCUGGGGAGUACGGCCGCAAGGCUGAAACUCAAAGGAAUUGACGGGGGCCCGCACAAGCGGUGGAGCAUGUGGUUUAAUUCGAAGCUACGCGAAGAACCUUACCAGGUCUUGACAUACUAUGCAAAUCUAAGAGAUUAGACGUUCCCUUCGGGGACAUGGAUACAGGUGGUGCAUGGUUGUCGUCAGCUCGUGUCGUGAGAUGUUGGGUUAAGUCCCGCAACGAGCGCAACCCUUAUUAUCAGUUGCCAGCAUUAAGUUGGGCACUCUGGUGAGACUGCCGGUGACAAACCGGAGGAAGGUGGGGAUGACGUCAAAUCAUCAUGCCCCUUAUGACCUGGGCUACACACGUGCUACAAUGGAUGGUACAACGAGUUGCGAACUCGCGAGAGUAAGCUAAUCUCUUAAAGCCAUUCCCAGUUCGGAUUGUAGGCUGCAACUCGCCUACAUGAAGUCGGAAUCGCUAGUAAUCGCGGAUCAGCAUGCCGCGGUGAAUACGUUCCCGGGCCUUGUACACACCGCCCGU